Molecule: ribosomal RNA, 215 nt
Filed under: uncultured Anaerolineaceae bacterium
Lineage: Bacteria; Bacillati; Chloroflexota; Anaerolineae; Anaerolineales; Anaerolineaceae
Description: partial 16S ribosomal RNA
Rfam family: Bacterial small subunit ribosomal RNA
Source: RNAcentral
GGAAGUGGGAUGACGUCAAGUCAGCAUGGCCUUUAUAUCCUGGGCUACACACACGCUACAAUGGGAAGGGACAAUAGGUUGCGAAGCCGCGAGGCGGAGCCAAUCCAGCAAAACUUCCCUCAGUUCAGAUUGCAGGCUGCAACCCGCCUGCAUGAAGUUGGAGUUGCUAGUAAACGCAGGUCAGCCAUACUGCGUUGAAUACGUUCCCGGGGCUU